UUAACUAUAAUCACAUAAUCUCACUUGCUACAUAAUUAGGACACAUAUAAGAGUUAUCUUGCUAUAUCGGCAUUUCAUCAAAAACUCCUCAUAAUUUAAGCUCUACAUGUCAUAUUACUUGUCCAAUUGUUAUUACGAUACCACGACAUGUUUUCAAAUUGUAUUUCUGUAACGUACCGGAUUUUGAUAUAAAAGUAAAAAUAAAUAAAAAUAGUGUGAGAUGCUAUUUUUAUUGGAUUUAGAUAAGUAAAAUAUAAGUAAGAAAUGACUUGUGCUGAAAUCGGAAUGAAAACAGAAGAUUUAGAAUUUUCUAUGAGAAACGGGGCUGAUAUUUUAGCAGAAAAUGCACAGUGUCAGAAAAUUAUAAAAACUGAAGAAUAUGUCAGAAUUAUUUUUAUGAUGCUAGAUUUAAAGUUCAUGUCAUUCUGACACCCGGAAGGUGGAAAAUAAAAUCCAACUGCUAUCUGCUAGAGGUUAUAGUUCGGUAGAGCUUUCGGUGACCAAACAAGGUCGAAACUGAAAAAUUAAAAUUUUUUUCGUCAAGUUAAGUAAAAUCGAGCAUGACUGUCAAAUUUAAGCUCAAACGGACAUUCAGAAGGGCAAACGAAAAAUAUCUGUACCCGAGCUGCUAAACUGAAUGUAAUUAUGUUAAUGUUGAGGGG
This 662-nucleotide long non-coding RNA is filed under the name Ananas comosus (pineapple). RNAcentral's name for it is "long non-coding RNA (ACOM_LNC021374)". Lineage: Eukaryota; Viridiplantae; Streptophyta; Magnoliopsida; Poales; Bromeliaceae. The record is from RNAcentral.